Molecule: ribosomal RNA, 1107 nt
Rfam family: Bacterial small subunit ribosomal RNA
GGAGGCAGCAGUGGGGAAUAUUGCACAAUGGGCGCAAGCCUGAUGCAGCGACGCCGCGUGAGGGAUGACGGCCUUCGGGUUGUAACCUCUUUCAGUAGGGAAGAAGCGAAAGUGACGGUACCUGCAGAAGAAGCACCGGCUAACUACGUGCCAGCAGCCGCGGUAAUACGUAGGGUGCGAGCGUUAUCCGGAAUUAUUGGGCGUAAAGAGCUCGUAGGCGGUUUGUCGCGUCUGUCGUGAAAGUCCGGGGCUUAACCCCGGAUCUGCGGUGGGUACGGGCAGACUAGAGUGCAGUAGGGGAGACUGGAAUUCCUGGUGUAGCGGUGGAAUGCGCAGAUAUCAGGAGGAACACCGAUGGCGAAGGCAGGUCUCUGGGCUGUAACUGACGCUGAGGAGCGAAAGCAUGGGGAGCGAACAGGAUUAGAUACCCUGGUAGUCCAUGCCGUAAACGUUGGGCACUAGGUGUGGGGACCAUUCCACGGUUUCCGCGCCGCAGCUAACGCAUUAAGUGCCCCGCCUGGGGAGUACGGCCGCAAGGCUAAAACUCAAAGGAAUUGACGGGGGCCCGCACAAGCGGCGGAGCAUGCGGAUUAAUUCGAUGCAACGCGAAGAACCUUACCAAGGCUUGACAUGUUCUCGAUCGCCGUAGAGAUACGGUUUCCCCUUUGGGGCGGGUUCACAGGUGGUGCAUGGUUGUCGUCAGCUCGUGUCGUGAGAUGUUGGGUUAAGUCCCGCAACGAGCGCAACCCUCGUUCCAUGUUGCCAGCACGUAAUGGUGGGGACUCAUGGGAGACUGCCGGGGUCAACUCGGAGGAAGGUGAGGACGACGUCAAAUCAUCAUGCCCCUUAUGUCUUGGGCUUCACGCAUGCUACAAUGGCCGGUACAAUGGGUUGCGAUACUGUGAGGUGGAGCUAAUCCCAAAAAGCCGGUCUCAGUUCGGAUUGGGGUCUGCAACUCGACCCCAUGAAGUCGGAGUCGCUAGUAAUCGCAGAUCAGCAACGCUGCGGUGAAUACGUUCCCGGGCCUUGUACACACCGCCCGUCAAGUCACGAAAGUUGGUAACACCCGAAGCCGGUGGCCUAACCCUUGUGGGGGAGCCGUCGAAG